This 2901-nucleotide ribosomal RNA is filed under the name Escherichia coli. RNAcentral describes it as "bacterial LSU rRNA". The record is from RNAcentral. Lineage: Bacteria; Pseudomonadati; Pseudomonadota; Gammaproteobacteria; Enterobacterales; Enterobacteriaceae.
UUAAGCGACUAAGCGUACACGGUGGAUGCCCUGGCAGUCAGAGGCGAUGAAGGACGUGCUAAUCUGCGAUAAGCGUCGGUAAGGUGAUAUGAACCGUUAUAACCGGCGAUUUCCGAAUGGGGAAACCCAGUGUGUUUCGACACACUAUCAUUAACUGAAUCCAUAGGUUAAUGAGGCGAACCGGGGGAACUGAAACAUCUAAGUACCCCGAGGAAAAGAAAUCAACCGAGAUUCCCCCAGUAGCGGCGAGCGAACGGGGAGCAGCCCAGAGCCUGAAUCAGURUGUGUGUUAGUGGAAGCGUCUGGAAAGGCGCGCGAUACAGGGUGACAGCCCCGUACACAAAAAUGCACAURYUGUGAGCUCGAUGAGUAGGGCGGGACACGUGGUAUCCUGUCUGAAUAUGGGGGGACCAUCCUCCAAGGCUAAAUACUCCUGACUGACCGAUAGUGAACCAGUACCGUGAGGGAAAGGCGAAAAGAACCCCGGCGAGGGGAGUGAAAAAGAACCUGAAACCGUGUACGUACAAGCAGUGGGAGCACGCUUAGGCGUGUGACUGCGUACCUUUUGUAUAAUGGGUCAGCGACUUAUAUUCUGUAGCAAGGUUAACCGAAUAGGGGAGCCGAAGGGAAACCGAGUCUUAACUGGGCGUUAAGUUGCAGGGUAUAGACCCGAAACCCGGUGAUCUAGCCAUGGGCAGGUUGAAGGUUGGGUAACACUAACUGGAGGACCGAACCGACUAAUGUUGAAAAAUUAGCGGAUGACUUGUGGCUGGGGGUGAAAGGCCAAUCAAACCGGGAGAUAGCUGGUUCUCCCCGAAAGCUAUUUAGGUAGCGCCUCGUGAAUUCAUCUCCGGGGGUAGAGCACUGUUUCGGCAAGGGGGUCAUCCCGACUUACCAACCCGAUGCAAACUGCGAAUACCGGAGAAUGUUAUCACGGGAGACACACGGCGGGUGCUAACGUCCGUCGUGAAGAGGGAAACAACCCAGACCGCCAGCUAAGGUCCCAAAGUCAUGGUUAAGUGGGAAACGAUGUGGGAAGGCCCAGACAGCCAGGAUGUUGGCUUAGAAGCAGCCAUCAUUUAAAGAAAGCGUAAUAGCUCACUGGUCGAGUCGGCCUGCGCGGAAGAUGUAACGGGGCUAAACCAUGCACCGAAGCUGCGGCAGCGACACUAUGUGUUGUUGGGUAGGGGAGCGUUCUGUAAGCCUGUGAAGGUGUGCUGUGAGGCAUGCUGGAGGUAUCAGAAGUGCGAAUGCUGACAUAAGUAACGAUAAAGCGGGUGAAAAGCCCGCUCGCCGGAAGACCAAGGGUUCCUGUCCAACGUUAAUCGGGGCAGGGUGAGUCGACCCCUAAGGCGAGGCCGAAAGGCGUAGUCGAUGGGAAACAGGUUAAUAUUCCUGUACUUGGUGUUACUGCGAAGGGGGGACGGAGAAGGCUAUGUUGGCCGGGCGACGGUUGUCCCGGUUUAAGCGUGUAGGCUGGUUUUCCAGGCAAAUCCGGAAAAUCAAGGCUGAGGCGUGAUGACGAGGCACUACGGUGCUGAAGCAACAAAUGCCCUGCUUCCAGGAAAAGCCUCUAAGCAUCAGGUAACAUCAAAUCGUACCCCAAACCGACACAGGUGGUCAGGUAGAGAAUACCAAGGCGCUUGAGAGAACUCGGGUGAAGGAACUAGGCAAAAUGGUGCCGUAACUUCGGGAGAAGGCACGCUGAUAUGUAGGUGAAGUCCCUCGCGGAUGGAGCUGAAAUCAGUCGAAGAUACCAGCUGGCUGCAACUGUUUAUUAAAAACACAGCACUGUGCAAACACGAAAGUGGACGUAUACGGUGUGACGCCUGCCCGGUGCCGGAAGGUUAAUUGAUGGGGUUAGCGCAAGCGAAGCUCUUGAUCGAAGCCCCGGUAAACGGCGGCCGUAACUAUAACGGUCCUAAGGUAGCGAAAUUCCUUGUCGGGUAAGUUCCGACCUGCACGAAUGGCGUAAUGAUGGCCAGGCUGUCUCCACCCGAGACUCAGUGAAAUUGAACUCGCUGUGAAGAUGCAGUGUACCCGCGGCAAGACGGAAAGACCCCGUGAACCUUUACUAUAGCUUGACACUGAACAUUGAGCCUUGAUGUGUAGGAUAGGUGGGAGGCUUUGAAGUGUGGACGCCAGUCUGCAUGGAGCCGACCUUGAAAUACCACCCUUUAAUGUUUGAUGUUCUAACGUUGACCCGUAAUCCGGGUUGCGGACAGUGUCUGGUGGGUAGUUUGACUGGGGCGGUCUCCUCCUAAAGAGUAACGGAGGAGCACGAAGGUUGGCUAAUCCUGGUCGGACAUCAGGAGGUUAGUGCAAUGGCAUAAGCCAGCUUGACUGCGAGCGUGACGGCGCGAGCAGGUGCGAAAGCAGGUCAUAGUGAUCCGGUGGUUCUGAAUGGAAGGGCCAUCGCUCAACGGAUAAAAGGUACUCCGGGGAUAACAGGCUGAUACCGCCCAAGAGUUCAUAUCGACGGCGGUGUUUGGCACCUCGAUGUCGGCUCAUCACAUCCUGGGGCUGAAGUAGGUCCCAAGGGUAUGGCUGUUCGCCAUUUAAAGUGGUACGCGAGCUGGGUUUAGAACGUCGUGAGACAGUUCGGUCCCUAUCUGCCGUGGGCGCUGGAGAACUGAGGGGGGCUGCUCCUAGUACGAGAGGACCGGAGUGGACGCAUCACUGGUGUUCGGGUUGUCAUGCCAAUGGCACUGCCCGGUAGCUAAAUGCGGAAGAGAUAAGUGCUGAAAGCAUCUAAGCACGAAACUUGCCCCGAGAUGAGUUCUCCCUGACYCYUURAGRGUCCUGAAGGAACGUUGAAGACGACGACGUUGAUAGGCCGGGUGUGUAAGCGCAGCGAUGCGUUGAGCUAACCGGUACUAAUGAACCGUGAGGCUUAACCUU